GGUGUAUUUAUGCAAAAGAUUGGAUCUCAGUGCAAAAAAUAGCCAAAUGGCUAUAGCUGCCCAUUGUGUCCUGCAUAAUAUAUGUGAAGCAAAGGGGGAAA
Chelonoidis abingdonii (Abingdon island giant tortoise) is the source of this 101-nucleotide non-coding RNA. The record is from RefSeq and is a predicted model, not a curated record. NCBI's taxonomy places the organism in Eukaryota, Metazoa, Chordata, Testudines, Testudinidae.